This 253-nucleotide ribosomal RNA is filed under the name uncultured bacterium. RNAcentral's name for it is "partial 16S ribosomal RNA". It matches the Rfam family "Bacterial small subunit ribosomal RNA", at positions 524 to 776 of the family's 1533-position model. The record is from RNAcentral.
UACGUAGGGUGCAAGCGUUAAUCGGAAUUACUGGGCGUAAAGCGUGCGCAGGCGGUUAUGCAAGACAGAUGUGAAAUCCCCGGGCUCAACCUGGGAACUGCAUUUGUGACUGCAUAGCUAGAGUACGGCAGAGGGGGAUGGAAUUCCGCGUGUAGCAGUGAAAUGCGUAGAUAUGCGGAGGAACACCGAUGGCGAAGGCAAUCCCCUGGGCCUGUACUGACGCUCAUGCACGAAAGCGUGGGGAGCAAACAGG